RNAcentral lists this ribosomal RNA (502 nucleotides) under Simulium tani. RNAcentral's name for it is "eukaryotic LSU rRNA". It matches the Rfam family "Eukaryotic large subunit ribosomal RNA", at positions 286 to 647 of the family's 3401-position model. The record is from RNAcentral. Lineage: Eukaryota; Metazoa; Arthropoda; Insecta; Diptera; Simuliidae.
CACUAAGCGGGAGGUAAACUCCUUCUAAGACUAAAUAUUGCCAUGAGACCGAUAGCGAACAAGUACCGUGAGGGAAAGUUGAAAAGCACUCUGAAUAGAGAGUCAAAAAGUACGUGAAACUGUCUAGGGUUAAGAAAGCAUGAAGUGUCUAAAUAUCUGAAUGGAGAAAUUCAGUAUCAUAUUGUUGUAGUUAAAUUUUAACGAAGCAUAUGGUGUGCACUUUUCUCCUUGUAAGACACUGCGAUCCAUUAGAACCUUGUGUUAAAAACUACCAUGAUGUGAGUUUUUAUAUCUAUCAAUGGGCCCGACAUGGAGCUUACAUAUUUUAUGUUAGUACUAAAUAUUGUUAAGGUGAUAUAUAGGAAAGCAAUGUAAACUGUUGGUGACUCGCAUAGAUGUCUGAUGGAUUUUAAGCGUUUAUAAUAUGACACCUUGGUGUAACCAGAAAUGGUUUUUUGUAUUAUAUCGGAUCAGCAGUGUAUUUGUUUAGUAAUCUUCAUGA